UUUGAUCAUGGCUCAGAUUGAACGCUGGCGGCAUGCCUUACACAUGCAAGUCGAACGGCAGCACGGGGGCAACCCUGGUGGCGAGUGGCGAACGGGUGAGUAAUACAUCGGAACGUGUCCUGUAGUGGGGGAUAGCCCGGCGAAAGCCGGAUUAAUACCGCAUACGAUCUACGGAAGAAAGCGGGGGGUCGCAAGACCUCGCGCUAUAGGGGCGGCCGAUGGCAGAUUAGCUAGUUGGUGGGGUAAAGGCCUACCAAGGCGACGAUCUGUUGCUGGUCUGAGAGGACGACCAGCCACACUGGGACUGAGACACGGCCCAGACUCCUACGGGAGGCAGCAGUGGGGAAUUUUGGACAAUGGGGGAAACCCUGAUCCAGCAAUGCCGCGUGUGUGAAGAAGGCCUUCGGGUUGUAAAGCACUUUUGUCCGGAAAGAAAACUUCUGCCCUAAUACGGCGGGAGGAUGACGGUACCGGAAGAAUAAGCACCGGCUAACUACGUGCCAGCAGCCGCGGUAAUACGUAGGGUGCGAGCGUUAAUCGGAAUUACUGGGCGUAAAGCGUGCGCAGGCGGUUCGUUAAGACAGAUGUGAAAUCCCCGGGCUUAACCUGGGAACUGCAUUUGUGACUGGCGAGCUAGAGUAUGGCAGAGGGGGGUAGAAUUCCACGUGUAGCAGUGAAAUGCGUAGAGCGCCC
RNAcentral lists this ribosomal RNA (693 nucleotides) under uncultured bacterium. RNAcentral describes it as "bacterial SSU rRNA". It matches the Rfam family "Bacterial small subunit ribosomal RNA", at positions 12 to 699 of the family's 1533-position model. The record is from RNAcentral.